Molecule: ribosomal RNA, 400 nt
Filed under: uncultured bacterium
Lineage: Bacteria
Description: bacterial SSU rRNA
Rfam family: Bacterial small subunit ribosomal RNA
Source: RNAcentral
CCAGACUUGACAUACAGAGGAAUGGUGCAGAAAUGUGCCCGCCCUUCGGGGCCUCUGUACAGGUGCUGCAUGGCUGUCGUCAGCUCGUGCCGUGAGGUGUUUGGUUAAGUCCAGCAACGAGCGCAACCCUUAUCGUUAGUUGCCAACGCGUAAUGGCGGGAACUCUAACGAGACUGCCUGGGUUAACCAGGAGGAAGGUGAGGAUGACGUCAAGUCCGCAUGGCCCUUAUGUCUGGGGCUACACACGUGCUACAAUGGUCGGUACAGAAGGCAGCAAAGCCGCGAGGCGAAGCAAAUCCCUAAAGCCGAUCUCAGUUCAGAUUGUAGUCUGCAACUCGACUACAUGAAGACGGAAUUGCUAGUAAUGGCGUGUCAGCAACAACGCCGUGAAUACGUUCCC